RNAcentral lists this ribosomal RNA (693 nucleotides) under uncultured bacterium. RNAcentral's name for it is "bacterial SSU rRNA". It matches the Rfam family "Bacterial small subunit ribosomal RNA", at positions 8 to 692 of the family's 1533-position model. The record is from RNAcentral.
AGAGUUUGAUCAUGGCUCAGGACGAACGCUGGCGGCGUGCUUAAUACAUGCAAGUCGAGCGAGGUUACUGCGACAGAUCCCUUCGGGGUGAAGUUGCUUUAACCUAGCGGCGGACGGGUGAGUAACGCGUGGGUAACCUACCCUAAAGUUCGGGAUAACAGCGGGAAACCGCUGCUAAUACCGGAUGCCUUUACCGUGUGGCAUCACAGGGUAAAGAAAGGUAACGCUUUAGGAUGGGCCCGCGUCCCAUUAGCUAGUUGGUGAGGUAACAGCUCACCAAGGCGACGAUGGGUAGCCGGCCUGAGAGGGUGGACGGCCACACUGGGACUGAGACACGGCCCAGACUCCUACGGGAGGCAGCAGUAGGGAAUAUUGCGCAAUGGACGGAAGUCUGACGCAGCGACGCCGCGUGAGCGAUGAAGGCCUUCGGGUUGUAAAGCUCUGUCCUUGGGGAAGAAGGUCUUCGGACUUGACGGUACCCAAGAAGAAAGCCCCGGCUAACUACGUGCCAGCAGCCGCGGUAAUACGUAGGGGGCGAGCGUUGUCCGGAAUUACUGGGCGUAAAGGGUGCGUAGGCGGCCCUUUAAGUCAGAUGUGAAAGCCCGCAGCUUAACUGCGGAAUUGCAUUUGAAACUGGAGGGCUUGAGUGUCGGAGAGGGUAGUGGAAUUCCCAGUGUAGCGGUGAAAUGCGUA